GUGGGGAAUUUUGGACAAUGGGCGCAAGCCUGAUCCAGCAAUGCCGCGUGCAGGAAGAAGGCCUUCGGGUUGUAAACUGCUUUUGUACGGAACGAAAAGGCUCUGGUUAAUACCUGGGGCUCAUGACGGUACCGUAAGAAUAAGCACCGGCUAACUACGUGCCAGCAGCCGCGGUAAUACGUAGGGUGCAAGCGUUGAUCGGAAUUACUGGGCGUAAAGCGUGCGCAGGCGGUUUUGUAAGACAGACGUGAAAUCCCCGGGCUCAACCUGGGAAUGGCGUUUGUGACUGCAAAGCUGGAGUGCGGCAGAGGGGGAUGGAAUUCCGCGUGUAGCAGUGAAAUGCGUAGAUAUGCGGAGGAACACCGAUGGCGAAGGCAAUCCCCUGGGCCUGCACUGACGCUCAUGCACGAAAGCGUGGGGAGCAAACAGGAUUAGAUACCCGGGUAGUCC
RNAcentral lists this ribosomal RNA (450 nucleotides) under uncultured bacterium. Its description in RNAcentral is "partial 16S ribosomal RNA". It matches the Rfam family "Bacterial small subunit ribosomal RNA", at positions 354 to 796 of the family's 1533-position model. The record is from RNAcentral.